UACGUAGGGUGCAAGCGUUAAUCGGAAUUACUGGGCGUAAAGCGUGCGCAGGCGGUCCGCUAAGACCGAUGUGAAAUCCCCGGGCUUAACCUGGGAACUGCAUUGGUGACUGGCGGGCUGGAGUAUGGCAGAGGGGGGUAGAAUUCCACGUGUAGCAGUGAAAUGCGUAGAGAUGUGGAGGGAUACCGAUGGCGAAGGCAGCCCCCUGGGCCAAUACUGACGCUCAUGCACGAAAGCGUGGGGAGCAAACAGG
This 253-nucleotide ribosomal RNA is filed under the name uncultured bacterium. Its description in RNAcentral is "partial 16S ribosomal RNA". It matches the Rfam family "Bacterial small subunit ribosomal RNA", at positions 524 to 776 of the family's 1533-position model. The record is from RNAcentral.